UACGUAGGGGGCAAGCGUUGUCCGGAUUCAUUGGGCGUAAAGAGCUCGUAGGCGGUUUGUCGCGUUGUUCGUGAAAUCUCACGGCUUAACUGUGAGCGUGCGGGCGAUACGGGCAGACUAGAGUACUGCAGGGGAGACUGGAAUUCCUGGUGUAGCGGUGGAAUGCGCAGAUAUCAGGAGGAACACCGGUGGCGAAGGCGGGUCUCUGGGCAGUAACUGACGCUGAGGAGCGAAAGCGUGGGGAGCGAACAGG
This 253-nucleotide ribosomal RNA is filed under the name uncultured bacterium. Its description in RNAcentral is "partial 16S ribosomal RNA". It matches the Rfam family "Bacterial small subunit ribosomal RNA", at positions 524 to 776 of the family's 1533-position model. The record is from RNAcentral.